This 253-nucleotide ribosomal RNA is filed under the name uncultured bacterium. Its description in RNAcentral is "partial 16S ribosomal RNA". It matches the Rfam family "Bacterial small subunit ribosomal RNA", at positions 524 to 776 of the family's 1533-position model. The record is from RNAcentral.
UACAGAGACUGCAAGCGUUAUUCGGAUUCACUGGGCGUAAAGGGUGCGCAGGCGGCCAGGUGUGUUAGGCGUGAAAGCCCGAGGCUUAACCCCGGAAUUGCACCUAAAACUACUUGGCUAGAGCAUUGGAGAGGGUAGCGGAAUUCACGGUGUAGCAGUGAAAUGCGUAGAUAUCGUGAGGAACACCAGAGGCGAAGGCGGCUACCUGGACAAUUGCUGACGCUCAGGCACGAAAGCGUGGGGAGCAAAAGGG